AUACGGAGGGUGCAAGCGUUACUCGGAAUCACUGGGCGUAAAGCGCGCGCAGGCGGCUAUUUAAGUUGGAUGUGAAAGCCUACGGCUCAACCGUAGAACUGCAUCCAAAACUAUUUAGCUAGAGUGUGGGAGAGGAAGAUGGAAUUAGUUGUGUAGGGGUAAAAUCCGUAGAGAUAACUCGGAAUACCAAAAGCGAAGGCAAUCUUCUGGAACACUACUGACGCUGAGGCGCGAAAGCGUGGGGAGCAAACGGGAUUAGAAACCCUAGUAGUCC
RNAcentral lists this ribosomal RNA (274 nucleotides) under uncultured bacterium. Its description in RNAcentral is "partial 16S ribosomal RNA". It matches the Rfam family "Bacterial small subunit ribosomal RNA", at positions 523 to 796 of the family's 1533-position model. The record is from RNAcentral.